AGCAGCCCGCGGUAAUUCCAGCUCCAAUAGCGUAUAUUAAAGUUGUUGCAGUUAAAAAGCUCGUAGUUGAAUUUCGGGAUCAAUAUGUCGGUCGUGCCUUCGGUACGUACUGGUAUCAUUGGUCUCUCCUUUCUGACGAACCAUGAUGUCAUUAAUUUGGUGUUAUGGGGAGUUAGGACUGUUACUUUGAAAAAAUUAGAGUGUUUAAAGCAGGCUUUAGCUUGAAUACAUUAGCAUGGAAUAAUGAAAUAGGACGUUCGAACCUAUUUUGUUGGUUUCUAGGAUCAACGUAAUGAUUAAUAGGGAUAGUUGGGGGCAUUAGUAUUCAAUUGUCAGAGGUGAAAUUCUUGGAUUUAUUGAAGACUAACUACUGCGAAAGCAUUUGCCAAGGAUGUUUUCAUUAAUCAAGAACGAAAGUUAGGGGAUCGAAGACGAUCAGAUACCGUCGUAGUCUUAACCAUAAACUAUGCCGACUAGGGAUCGGAUGAUGUUAAUUUUUUAAUGACUCA
RNAcentral lists this ribosomal RNA (509 nucleotides) under uncultured Glomus. Its description in RNAcentral is "SSU rRNA". It matches the Rfam family "Eukaryotic small subunit ribosomal RNA", at positions 569 to 1078 of the family's 1831-position model. The record is from RNAcentral. Lineage: Eukaryota; Fungi; Glomeromycota; Glomeromycetes; Glomerales; Glomeraceae.